CCCCCAGCCCUGGAGGUGUCCCAGGAAGGCCUGGAUGUGGCACUCAGUGCUCUGGGCUGGGGGACAAGGUGGGGAUGGGGCACAGGGGGGAUCCAUGGGCUGGGAGGGCUUUUCCAACCUCAGUGAUUCUGGGAUUCUCUGAUUCAGGGAAACUGGUGCCUCUCCAGAACAGCACAAUCUAACACCAGGGGCUGACCACAGAAGCCAAUAGACUCCACCAAAGUAGCUCCUCUACCUCUUGAUUUUCUCUCAGACCUUCAUCUGUGAAAUUCUUCAGAGUCCCAUCACCCUCCUGUUUGUUGGCUGUGUCAGACCAUGAGUCAGGAGCACAACACCCCAAAGAGUUAUGGGCCACCACCAUCCCAACAACCUUAGUCCCAUCUCUCCAGUGCACUUUUCCCAGCUGAUUGCAGUCUGAGGAACAUUGGAAAUCUGAUGCAAGGAACUCUCUUUUGGGGAGUAACUGGGAGAAAGCAAAAUGGGAGAAACCAACAGGGUUGUAAGAGCUGUGGCUUUACCUCUGUCAGAAGGACGGGCCCUCCUGCAGCUCAGUUAUGUGGAGAUUUGACGGAAGGAGUUGUGGAUGAACACACGGAGUCCCACAACUCCUCGUGUUGAGAAGACACCACGAAAAGAAAUCUCUUUUCCUUCAGGACUGUAGAACUUGAAGAGAACAGUGCUGGGAUAAGAAAUAUUGGAAGUGACUGUAUGGGAGUGAAGAGGGAAUGUGGGAAAAUUAGGAUUUUAGCAUCCUGCAAAACAGCAAGGAAUAGUAAGGGCUGAUCUCUCCUUGUGGCUGGUGGGGUAGAAAAGACCAAUCCCUGCUCUAUAACUGUUGUCUUAUGAAUUCACACUGCCUUUUUCCUCAACAAAAUGUGUUCAAAAACAUUCCAAGAAUCUUCUAAGUAGUGGUUUGGAUCUAAUCAAUUAAUUUGGUUUGAGAGUCAAGUCUUCUUGCCUUAUGAGAACAGUCGAAGUACUCACCCUGCAGUCCAAGAAAGUAGAUUUUUACUCUUUAAAACCCUGUGACUGAUUGGACUGACCCUGCAUUUCAUCCACUGAAUGCUCUCCUGUUCCACAUUCAUCCUAAAUCCAUCUUUUGCAGUCCACUCCAAAAAUUCUUUUUAAUUCAACAGGGACUGGACAAAAUUUCUCCUGCCGUAUUUGUUGUUUUCUGACCAGUAUUUCACCACACAAAUAGCAAACUCAAACUAAUGUGGUAACACAGCAAAAACUGGGACCUUCUGGAUUGGUUUCCCAUCAUCUUCAGUUCUCAGCUGGAAAUUCAUGGCAUCUUCCUUGCAGCUGCUCUGUGACUGCUUUAGCUUUUGGAGUGGGGGGGGUGAGAUGGUGGUGAGAGGGGAACAAAGAGGGCAGCCAGUGGCACAGAACCUGAAUAUUUCCUUCCUACAGCUUGUUUCAUGUGAACUGUAAACUUCAUUUUUUGGCUAGAAAUGGUUGCAAACAGGUAGUCAUAGAUAAAGCAGUGUAUUUGUUCAGCUCAAAUACCAAGAUAGGUCUGUGUGGAUGGGCCCAACAUUUAACUCAAGAGACUAAGGCAGAAGAGAUGAGCCCUUAUUUUGGGGAAGUUCUCCCUCGAAGGACAAAUACAUCACAAAAUUAAUGAUUACAGAGCUUUUCCUUAAAGACAGUGCAGGGUUGAUACACUAAAGGAACUGGGCAAUUUUCUGUGAGCCCUGCCCUUCCAUCUGGUUUAAUUGAUAAUAAAAGGAUAAUAAUC
Molecule: long non-coding RNA, 1741 nt
Organism: Pseudopipra pipra
Lineage: Eukaryota; Metazoa; Chordata; Aves; Passeriformes; Pipridae
Exons: 2
Source: RefSeq, a predicted model, not a curated record